Molecule: transfer RNA, 75 nt
Filed under: Fletchervirus CPX
Lineage: Duplodnaviria; Heunggongvirae; Uroviricota; Caudoviricetes; Connertonviridae
Also listed under: 3 other names
Description: Campylobacter phage CPX tRNA
Rfam family: tRNA
About the family: Transfer RNA (tRNA) molecules are approximately 80 nucleotides in length. Their secondary structure includes four short double-helical elements and three loops (D, anti-codon, and T loops).
Source: Rfam by way of RNAcentral
GGACAUGUAGCGCUCAAGUGGUAGAGCAGCCGACUUAAAAUCUGCAGAUUGAUGGUUCGAUCCCAUCCAUGUCCA